UACGAAGGGCGCAAGCGUUAUCCGGAAUUAUUGGGCGUAAAGAGUGAGCAGGCGGCAUAGCAAGUCUGAGGUGAAAGCGUGGGGCUCAACCCCAUACAGCCUUGGAAACUACUAAGCUAGAGUACCUGAGAGGUAAACGGAACUCCAUGUGUAGCGGUAAAAUGCGUUGAUAUAUGGAAGAACACCAGUGGCGAAGGCGGUUUACCAGCAGAGUACUGACGCUCAGUCACGAAAGCGUGGGGAGCAAAUA
This 250-nucleotide ribosomal RNA is filed under the name uncultured prokaryote. RNAcentral's name for it is "partial 16S ribosomal RNA". It matches the Rfam family "Bacterial small subunit ribosomal RNA", at positions 524 to 774 of the family's 1533-position model. The record is from RNAcentral.